CCUGCCCUGUGAUUAUUUUAACGGCCGCAGUACUCUGACUGUGCUAAGGUAGCAUAAUAAAUUGGCUUUUAAUUGAGGUCGAGUAUGAAAGGGAGCAUGGGAAGAAGCUGUCUCCAUAAAAUUAUAUAAAAUUUACUUAAUAGGUGAAAAUACCUAUAAUUAUUAUUUAAGACGAGAAGACCCUUAGAAUUAUAGCUAAUAUAAAUAAAAGAUUUUUUUUGGUUUUUGUUGGGGCAACAUUGUUAGGAAAAUAACCAACAUUUUUUAAAAUUCUAUACGACUUUUUUUAACAGUAAAAUGUAAAUUACCUUAGGGAUAACAGCAUAAUUAUUUUCAUAGAUUGUGACCUCGAUGUUGGACUAGGGACUUUAAUUAUUAGCCAUUAUUGAAGAAGGUUCUGUUCGAACUAUAAUAACCU
RNAcentral lists this ribosomal RNA (418 nucleotides) under Gastrocopta margaretae. RNAcentral describes it as "partial 16S ribosomal RNA". Lineage: Eukaryota; Metazoa; Mollusca; Gastropoda; Stylommatophora; Pupillidae. The record is from RNAcentral.